RNAcentral lists this ribosomal RNA (222 nucleotides) under uncultured bacterium. RNAcentral's name for it is "partial 16S ribosomal RNA". It matches the Rfam family "Bacterial small subunit ribosomal RNA", at positions 99 to 334 of the family's 1533-position model. The record is from RNAcentral.
CGGACGGGUGAGUAUCGCGUAGGGAUUUAUCGUUGGGUGGGGGGAUAACCUUGGGAAACUGGGGCUAAUACCGCAUGACGCCUGAGGGCCAAAGUUGUAAUGGCGCCUGACGAGGAGCCUGCGUCCGAUUAGGUAGUUGGUUGGGUAAUGGCUGACCAAGCCUGCGAUCGGUAGCUGGUCUGAGAGGAUGAUCAGCCACACUGGGACUGAGACACGGCCCAG